Molecule: long non-coding RNA, 1731 nt
Organism: Triticum aestivum (bread wheat)
Lineage: Eukaryota; Viridiplantae; Streptophyta; Magnoliopsida; Poales; Poaceae
Exons: 5
Source: RefSeq, a predicted model, not a curated record
UGGGCCCAUUACCCCCCCCCCCCCCCCCUCUCUCUCUCUGUGUGUGUUUCCCGAAAGAGGAGGGGAGUCGACCCUUGUCUGUCCAGCGUGGCGUGGCAAAAACAAACCGCCCGUAGCCAAACCGGGUCGCCGCCGGCCGGCUCACUUCUCUUAGUCCGCCGGCGGCGAUGGCUGGCUAUUCUGCGGUGGCGAGCAGCUCCUCUUCGUCAAACGCGCCCCCCUCGCUCGGCACGCGCGUGGAUGAUGCUACUCCGCCGCUGUUCAGGACAAGUUACUGCGGGCAAGGAUGGAAGCUCGGCAAUGGCGAAUUGGCGAUUUGCUGAAUCUGCCGUAUUUGCUUGCUACUUUUAUAUAGAUCUAUAGCCAUGCUACUACCAUCAGCUGCCACAUAUCAUUCAGUCUUGUUUUGGAAUUUCUUACUUGCAUGACUACCAAAUUUCACAACCAUCUCCCUUUGUUUUUCUUUUGACAGAAACAUGCAGGCAUCAGUUAUUCAGUUAGAGAUUCAACAAAGUUAAUCUGAAUAUAUGUGGAAUAUCAGCAUCUCUGCGGUCCAGUCCAUUUCCACGGGUGCUCCAAGUUGUUUCGCGGUUUAAUCGGAAUAUUGUUCUUCUUGGUCACCACUCACCGUGUUUUACAGUGUAGCUAGAUAGAUGUCACUGAACCAGAAAAACAAAGCAAUGCAAACUACAACGUCACACGCCGCUUCCAGGCCAUAGCAAUUCACACCUCACCCUUGGGGUCCUUACAAUUUAAGUGUAGCGGUUCUUUUUUCACAACCAUCGUCAUGCUUUGCUGAAACUGCAUUCCAUUUCCUUGUAUUUUUCAUUUAACAGAUCAUGGAUAUAUCACUUUUCAGUUAGAGAUUCAAGAAAUUUAAUCUGAAUAUGUGUGGAAUAUCAGUAUCCUUGCGGAUCUAGUCCAUUCCCACGAGUGCUCGAAGCUGUUCCGCAACGUUGCUGAGGUGGAGGCCUAGCACGAGUUCAACCCCUCCUUCAAGCCCAAACCAGGAGGUCACCGCAGGCCUCUUAAUAAGCAGUACAUCUUAACUGAGAUUCUGAGAUUCUUGGAUAAAGAGGCAAUUUGAAGCUUGUCAUUCAAUGUGUGGCACCAGGAGGAUUCGAAUCUGCACAAAGGUUGGAUAUACUCUUAGAGAACAUAUUCGUUGCCAGAGUCUACAGUCCAGACCUUUACAUCCUUCCAGGUCUAAAUUUUUUGAGCCAUCUUUUAUAUGACAGAAGCCGUGAUUCAGUUCAAGAAACACACAGAUGUCACUUAUUCAGUUAGAAAUUCAAGAAGUUUAAUCUGAAUAUGUGUGGAAUAUCAACAUUCUUGCGGAUCCAGUCCAUUUCCACAAGUGGUCGAAGAUGUUUCGCAGCAGUGCUGAGGUGGAGGCCUAGCACGAAUCCAACCCCUCCGUCAAGCCCAAACCAGGAUGGUGCCACAGGCUCUUAAUAAACAGGGAUAUCCAUGGUCUAUGGGUGCAGCGAGGAGCAUGCCUCCUUUGCGACGUGCAGGUGUUCCUGAACGAUGGGACAAGCAUUCAAUGCAAGGAGUGAGUGCGUGCUCAAGGAGUUCCCUCCAUUGCAAGUGUAUCCCCGCAGGCCGCAGCAUUGACAAACCAGAAACUGAUGAGUGGCCGUCUGUGUUCUACAGCAACAAUCAAGGAUCAUCUUGGGUGUGUCAUGUGUGGUUGUUGAUUUAGUCUAAGGUGAAUCAUAAACGUUUUAG